This is a long non-coding RNA of Gasterosteus aculeatus aculeatus (three-spined stickleback), 1077 nucleotides long. The record is from Ensembl. NCBI's taxonomy places the organism in Eukaryota, Metazoa, Chordata, Actinopteri, Perciformes, Gasterosteidae.
CUUAACUUGUCAAGCUGGUUGAAUUGUUUUCCGACGGGCUACUUUGUCCGCUAAUAACGCCACGGAUUAUCCGCUGAACCGUUUCCCGUGUGCCAUUUACCACGUCCUGUAAUUACGCUUCGCUCUUUAAGCCCUGACGUCAUUGCCCGCCGCUGAUACUUUCACUGCUCCGCGGCGGGACGCGCCUGUGUGCUGCGCUCAGGAAUUCCACCGGCCAUUUUCGAACGCCGAGGGUCUCGUGAGGGCAAACGGAAGCAGAAACGUUUGAACGUGUCCCUCUGUGGCGGCAGAGUGUAUCUGCUCUCCACCUAAUCCUGGACACAAAGCCCGGCUUAGCAGCACCUUUGUGUUCGUCAGGUAGGCAGGCUCGAGGAACAGGCCUCUGCACGCACGCGGCAGCAACCCUGCCGACACCGAGAACAUCUGCGGAGCCCGGUGGAAUGACGCGAGCACGCCGCGCACACAAACAUCUUGCAGAUGUGCCAAUCUUUAAAAGCACCCGGGGAUGUUCUUUCUGGAAGUUAUGAGGUAUUCAGAGCAGCUCCCACAGAGACAAAAAACAUGCAGAGGAAGUUGCAGCAGCAGCUGCAGAUUCACAGGAUCAACGUCCUAACUUAUCUAAAUUUUUGAUGGCAGAUUUGGUUAAUCUACAAACACUGAAGAAGAAACAAAGACGUCAGAACAUGAAAAAUAUAUGUGAAUAAAACAUUAAAAAAUACUUUCACUGAAGUUCGCUGCAGUCCAAAACCGCUUCCGUCCUCAUGAAUCUCUAUUUCAGGUAACGUCAGACUUUUCUUUUUGACGAUUCUAACCGUGGGAUGUGUUUUUGUGGAGCGUAACACACAUUUGGAUGCUGCCGUUUUCAUUAACGCCGUCGUGGUUCUCUGGAGCUCCCAGGAGCAAACUCAUUUUGGCAGCCUGGCGCUGGAUCAGGCCGACCACCUGUCAUCCUAAUUCUGCACAUGGCCUCUGCUGUCAAACACUCCCUCACAUACCUCCCUGCGCCCCACACAGCACCUGUGAUUGGCUCGCCCAUCGCCAUCGCAGCUGUCGGGCUCACCCUCAGCCUUAAUUAGA